GCGGAUAUGGCGGAAUGGCAGACGCGCAAGCUUGAGGUGUUUGUGGGGAGACCCGUGCUGGUUCAAGUCCAGUUAUCCGCACCA
This 84-nucleotide transfer RNA is filed under the name Clostridiales bacterium. Its description in RNAcentral is "tRNA-Leu". It matches the Rfam family "tRNA". From Rfam's summary of the family: Transfer RNA (tRNA) molecules are approximately 80 nucleotides in length. Their secondary structure includes four short double-helical elements and three loops (D, anti-codon, and T loops). Lineage: Bacteria; Bacillati; Bacillota; Clostridia; Eubacteriales. RNAcentral also lists the same sequence under 1 other name. The record is from RNAcentral.